UACCUGCGGAGGGAUCAUUACCGAGUUUACAACUCCCAAACCCCUGUGAACAUACCACUUGUUGCCUCGGCGGAUCAGCCCGCUCCCGGUAAAACGGGACGGCCCGCCAGAGGACCCCUAAACUCUGUUUCUAUAUGUAACUUCUGAGUAAAACCAUAAAUAAAUCAAAACUUUCAACAACGGAUCUCUUGGUUCUGGCAUCGAUGAAGAACGCAGCAAAAUGCGAUAAGUAAUGUGAAUUGCAGAAUUCAGUGAAUCAUCGAAUCUUUGAACGCACAUUGCGCCCGCCAGUAUUCUGGCGGGCAUGCCUGUUCGAGCGUCAUUUCAACCCUCAAGCACAGCUUGGUGUUGGGACUCGCGUUAAUUCGCGUUCCUCAAAUUGAUUGGCGGUCACGUCGAGCUUCCAUAGCGUAGUAGUAAAACCCUCGUUACUGGUAAUCGUCGCGGCCACGCCGUUAAACCCCAACUUCUGAAUGUUGACCUCGGAUCAGGUAGGAAUACCCGCUGAACUUAAGCAUAUCAAUAAGCGGAGG
This 533-nucleotide ribosomal RNA is filed under the name Fusarium oxysporum. RNAcentral describes it as "eukaryotic LSU rRNA". The stretch from base 169 to 322 matches the Rfam family "5.8S ribosomal RNA". The record is from RNAcentral. Lineage: Eukaryota; Fungi; Ascomycota; Sordariomycetes; Hypocreales; Nectriaceae.